This 253-nucleotide ribosomal RNA is filed under the name uncultured bacterium. Its description in RNAcentral is "partial 16S ribosomal RNA". It matches the Rfam family "Bacterial small subunit ribosomal RNA", at positions 524 to 776 of the family's 1533-position model. The record is from RNAcentral.
UACGAAGGGGGCUAGCGUUGUUCGGAAUUACUGGGCGUAAAGCGUGCGCAGGCGGCUUCUCAAGUCAGGGGUGAAAGCCCAGAGCUCAACUCUGGAAUUGCCUUUGAGACUGAGUGGCUUGAGUACGAGAGAGGUGAGUGGAAUUCCCAGUGUAGAGGUGAAAUUCGUAGAUAUUGGGAAGAACACCGGUGGCGAAGGCGGCUCUCUGGAACGCAACUGACGCUGAGACGCGAAAGCGUGGGGAGCGAACAGG